This 360-nucleotide RNase P RNA is filed under the name human gut metagenome. Its description in RNAcentral is "Bacterial RNase P class A". It matches the Rfam family "Bacterial RNase P class A". Rfam says of the family: Ribonuclease P (RNase P) is a ubiquitous endoribonuclease, found in archaea, bacteria and eukarya as well as chloroplasts and mitochondria. The record is from RNAcentral.
AGUAGGUUGGAUGACUGCGGUGAAAAUACGAGGAAAGUCCGAGCUUCACAGAGCAGGAUGCCGGAUAACGUCCGGUGGAGGCGACUCUAAGGAAAGUGCAACAGAGAUAUACCGCCGCAUUGCUUUACUUUUGUAUUGAAGCGCUUUGCGCUGCCUAUGCGGUAAGGGUGGAAAGGCGAGGUAAGAGCUCACCGACCGUUAUGGCGACUUAACGGUCCUGUAAACCCCAUUCGAAGCAAGAUUGAUAGCGGAGCAUUAACGGCUGCUCGUCGGCUCCCAUGUAAUCGCUUAAGUUUUUCGGUAACGAAAAAAAUAGAUAGAUAGUCAUCUUUAACAGAACUCGGCUUACAGACCUACUCA